UUAAUUUUUCUUAACAAAAUAAGACAUGAAGAGAGUUUGAGUUGUCAAAAUAUAUUUUAAGUGCCUAUUACUAAAAACAUAGUAAGAUGCACAAUAUUCUUUUAUUUGUCAUAGGCUCUCAAAAGAGUUCCUAACAAUUGCACUCUCUAAUGCAUAAGAAUAAGUCAACUCUUUGAGGGUAUUUUGUAUUUUCAGGCUUUAAAAUUAUUGGUAAACCCAAUUUAGAGGAUGGGGAGAAACUGGAAGAAUAAGCCACAAGCCCAAAAGUGCUCCAAAAGUCAACCUCAAACCUUAAGUCUUGGAGAAUUACUGCCUCCUGGUCCUGUCUUACAGAUAAUGCUGCUACACUGGGUUUGCUUUUAUAGUCAGUAAUCAGUUUCCCUUUCACUCAGUAAGGGUCCCUGAUGAUUCAAAGUGCUCCAAAGAGCGUCUUCCACUUAUAAUCACUGAUGAAUUUUGUCAGCUAUUUAUCCAAAUUACAGGAAGUGAAAUCAGAAAGGUUGGACUGUAAGAAGUGUUUAAAAUUCAUAGAUUUGAGUCUGAUGAGUCCCAUUCAGGCAAGAGUGUGUCUAGAAAUUUACAUUGAUUAAAAUUUUUAGGACUUUACUAGAAGUUCUAAACACAGCAAUAAGACAAGAAAAAGAAAUAAAAUGUGUAUCAACUGGAAAGAAAGAAAUAAAAGUAUCCCCAUUUAUAGGUAACAUGAUGGUCUACAUAGAAAUUUUCAAAGAAUCUACUUUUUAAAAAUCAAAAAGCCCCUAGCACUAGUAGGUGCAGCAAGGUCUCAGAAUACAAGAUCAGCACCCAAAAUUUACUCACAUUUGAAUGUUCCAGUAAUGAGUAUGUGGCGACCAAAGCUAAAAACAUAAUACCAUUUCUUAGCACUCCAAAGAAGAUGAAAUGCAUGGCUAUAUAAGCUUAACUAAACAUGCACAAGAUUUGUAUGCUGGGAACUCUAAAAUGCCAAUGAAAGAAAUAAAAAUAUCUAAACAAAUGAGAGAUACCAUGUUCAUGGAUUGGAAGGCACAAAAUAGUAAAGAUGUCUAUUCUCCCCAAACUGAUCUCUUAAUUUAAUGCAAUUUCUAUCAAACCCACAGCAAGGUUUUGCAGACAAAUAGAUGCUUAUUGUAAAAAUUAUAUUUAAAGGUUUGGGGCCGGGGAUCUAGCUCAGUGAUUCCACUGCCUGCCUUGCAGGCGCAAGGUCCUGAGUUCAAUCCCCAAUACCAAAAAAUAAAAACUAAAUAUAUUUCAAGGUUUGCAGGAUUUUGAAGAGUUAAAACAAUCUUGAAGGAGAAAUCAUUCCACCCAAUAGAAAGAUUUAUUAAAGAGCGACAACAUUCAAGACAAUGUUAUUAGUGGAUGCAUAAACAUGCAUUUAUAAAGCAGAAGCUGGGCAUGGUGGUGUACGCCUGUAAUCCCAGCACUCAGGAGGCUGAGGCAGGAGGAUUGCUUCAUGUUCAAGGCCAGUCUGAACUAUAUAGUGAGACCCUGUCUCAAGAAACAAACAAACAACAGCAACAAAAAACUGGACACAACCAAAUGUCUAUUAAUCUGGUGACUGGUAAAACACAUUGUGGUACAUCCAUGUCAUGGAAUACUACUCAGUCAUAAAAAGAAGCUAAUUGCUGAUACAGACAACAGCUUGGAUGCAUCUCCAAAGACCUGAGCUAAGUGAGGAAAGCUAACCCUAAAAGUUCACACGUUGUAUGACUCCAGUUAUGUAAUGUUUGAAAUGCAAAAUGAUAGAAAUGGAAAAUAAAUUAGAGAUUGACAAGGAGGAGGCUAGAGAACAAGAGAGAUAGUUUUGACUAUAAAAGGGUAACCCAAAAGAUCCUGGUAAUGAUGGAAAUAUUUGGUAUAACUGAACAAAUCAGUAUAAAAUUCUACUUGCAAAACUGUACUUUAGCAAGAUGCUACCUUGGGGAGAAACUGACUAAAAGGUACAGGGAGGGAGGGUGAUAUUGUUUCGGGGUUUUUUGGUACCAGGAAUUGAACUCAGUACCUUGUGCUUGCCAGGCAGGUGUGGUGCCACUGAAUUAAAUCCUCAGCCCUAUAUUGUUUCUUAAAACUGCAUGUGAAUCUAUAAUGAUCUACCACUAUCUCAGAAUCUACAGUUAUCUCAGAAGGAAAGGUUUAAUAUAAACAAGACUUAAGGUUUCGCUUAAAUAAGACAUUCAGUCUCUUUCCUCUCUCUCUCUCUUUCUCUCUCUCUCUCUCUCUCUCUCUCUCUCUCUCUCUUUCUCUCUCUCUCAUUGGUCCCUACAGAAAUGAAGAACUGCAGAAAACAGACAUUUCUUCUGUUAUCCAUGUAUAUAUACAUUUGUGGAACAGAUGUAAGAUUUCUGUUAAAGUUUUCUAAAUGUAUUUGAUUUAGUGUUGAGUGCCAAGUAGUCAGAAUUCAACAGGGGGUGAGGGUGUAGUUCAUCGGUUGUGUGCUUGCCUACCAUAUGUGAGGUCCUGGGUUCCAUCCCCAGCAUCACAUAAAAGAACUGGACAAAUCUGCCCUAUAUAUUUUACAUGGCACCCUUAGGAGAGGCAGAUGUCUUCAUCUGAUGUAGACAUGUUGAGUGAGCUUUAGGUGUAUAUAAGUAUCCAUGUCUUUAUAUAGUGAUUCUCCACUGAAGUUUAUACAAAGAACUAUAUUUCCAGUAAUCUUCCUCUAAGUAUUCUGGGAAACAGUUCUUUGUUUUCUGUGAAUAAACUAAUUACAGUAUAUCCAGCCCCCUAUGUCUUUAUUUACCGAGAAUGAACAUGUUUGUGAGACCAGUGUGUAGCUAAUUCUGCUGAUGCUUAUUUCCAGACACCUUGUUUCACAUUGAUUCCUUGUAACAGAGUUGUUUGGGAAUUGAAAUGUACUUCUAGUCUUUCCAAAAAGUCUGUAUUUCAUUCUUAGUACCUUAACUGUCAAACACUGUUUUAAACAAUUUAUUGACACUUAUUUGAUUGCUAUCUCAAGUCAAUUAUGAAAACUUUGAAUUGCAAUGACGUUACUGUUUGUACUAUGUAAUUCAUGCGUGUAGAGUUUAAAAUCUGUUUUCAGAACUAGAUAUGUCUCU
RNAcentral lists this long non-coding RNA (3056 nucleotides) under Heterocephalus glaber (naked mole-rat). RNAcentral describes it as "lncRNA (ENSHGLG00100045934.1)". The record is from RNAcentral. Lineage: Eukaryota; Metazoa; Chordata; Mammalia; Rodentia; Bathyergidae.